GGGGUCCAGUGUUGUUUCCUAUAGAUAUUCAUGUCUUGUUCUUGCCUUUAUCGUGAUAUAUUGUGCUCUAUAGUAGUAGAGGAAUGCAAAUUCAAGGAAAACUUGAUCUGUAUACCUUCUUUAGAACUGUUUUAAGCCUUUGAGACAAAUUCUUGCCUCGAAUAUAAGGAGUUAGAAGACCAAAGUUUAGGUUUCAAGGAAUGUGUAGAGAUAUUAGAAAUUCAUAAGUAAAGUUUUUGGGUGAAGAAGUUUUAAGGACAAAGUUCGGAGAUCAGAUAUCGUACGAUUCACAAGAAGAAUUGAGUUCAAGAGACUAGAAUAAGAGAAGCUUCGGGUAAGUAUUGGGUGGCAGGUUUAAUAAAUCAGCUUGGUUCAAGGUAUCAGCAGUGUGGAAGGCCAGAAGAAAGGAAAAUGUUGAUGAGCCAUGAAGUACCUUUGGGUAUGGUUGGCAAUAUGAUUUGGUAUAUCAAGGAUGUACGAGAUUAGAAGAAGAGAAGUGGUAAAUGAUUUGAAGUUAAGUUAUGAAGGGAAUGGGAAUUCUAAAGUGGACCAAGGCAAAUUAGUAUCUAAAAGGGAAAUAGAAGAAGAAGAGUUUGAGAAGUAGCUGUAUGAGACGUAGAGCAUAUUUAAGGGUGUGCAAUAAAAGGUGAAAUUCCUAAGAUGGAGAGAACAUGAAGUCUGUGAGGAAAAAAAUUGAAGUAUUGUAGUGUUGCGAAUUGAAUAAUAAUCAGAUGGAGUGGUGAAGCAUUAAUCGCAAGUUGAUAUUUGAUAAUCAAGUCUAGAAGGAUGUUUUAAGAUCAAUAGUUUGUAUGGAAGAAAGGUUUGAUCAUUGGCUGAGAUGAGGGAUUUCAAGUGUUGAAGGAAGGAGUACAUCAGAAGGUGAGUUUGGUAGGAAAGUAUAAGGUUAAAGAAUUAAGAGCACAAUGAAUGAGGAAAGUAGAAGAAAGGUUUUAGAAUAGAUGGUAAAGGGUAGUUACAGUAUAAGUUGUGAAAGAGGGUGUCGCGAAUGAUCAGAGUUUGGGUUGGUUGAGACGUUCAGAGUUAUGAAGCGAUAUGUUGUGGUAAAGUCAAUUUUCAUCGGAUAUAGUUUUAUGGUGAUGUUCAGUGGUCAGCUAAGUUCGAUCAAGAUAGAAGUGGAUGUUUAUUUUUGGGUUACAAAAGGCAAUGAAUUGGUAAAUUCAGAUAAGGUCAGAGGGUCGACGUUGUGGGCUAUGGGUAUUCGGAGUUCAUAGGAUUAAAGGUAGGAUUGGUAUUUUGAUAAGUCUGAAUUGAGGAAGGUGAUUUUGGGACAAGGUUGUAAACUACGCUGGAGAUCAUAAGUACAUGAGGAAUUCUAUUUGAAUAUGGUAUUUGGGGAGUUGUUAUAAGAGCUCAGGUUUGAGGUUUAUAGGAAGUAAUUUCUUGGCAAGAAAGAAAAGCAAGGAUGAUGCAUCGGGUAUUGUUUAGCGAAAGAUGGUGGCAAGUGUUAUGGGAACCCAAGAUGUUUGAUAAGCUUAAGUGAAGAAGAUAUGAUGUCGUCUUUCCUAAGUCUGAGGUGUGAUUACAAGAGAGGUUUGUUUGUCUUCAAAUUGUUUCGGGUGGUUAUGGACUUCAAAAGAAGUACUGUGUUUUGAGAAGAGGAAGCCUGGUUAUGCAUUAGAAGUGGGUCAUAUAAAGAAGAAGACAAAGGGUUGUAGGAUUCAGAAUAUGUUAGCAAAAAAUACGUGGAGAAGAGAAUAUAGAUCUUUAUGGUGUAACAAUUUUGGGUUGGUGUUCUACAACAAGUAUGGGAUUUUAUAACUUGGAGAAAUGGUGGAUUGGCUAGAGCGGUAGUGCUUGGACUCAAUGUAAUCAUAAGGAAAACUACAAGGUUGAAGAAUCUCAUAAGAGAAAUGGAGGAUAGGUUGGGACAACCUAGUAUGAGUCUUAGCAAUCAAGGGUGAUUUUCUAGCAUGUUCGUUUCGUUGAGUAGAAAACAAUAUUGAGGGAAAUGGAAUAACAAGACUAUCAAGUAAGAGAAGAGUUAUUCAGGGUUUUUGCUAGGUCAUGGAAAUUUUGAAGAUGGUGAGCGUGUUAUUGUCAAUAAUAGGUACGCAUUAAGAACUUUCAUAAUUGUGGAUUGGUGGCUUGUGAGGGACGAGUUCUUUGAAACAAUAUUGGUGUUGUUAUAUGAGAAUGAGUUGGAAGUGGUUGUUAAUCCUCAAGAGUCCGAAGUGAGUUGAGUAUGGAAGAAAUAGGUAUCAGUCAGAGAAAAUGGGUGAGCCUACAGUUUCUAGCUACAGGGUCAACUUUAAAGUGAGGAAGUAUUAAUGGACUUGGAA
This 2300-nucleotide long non-coding RNA is filed under the name Vigna radiata. RNAcentral's name for it is "long non-coding RNA (VRAD_LNC015623)". The record is from RNAcentral. Lineage: Eukaryota; Viridiplantae; Streptophyta; Magnoliopsida; Fabales; Fabaceae.